UAAAUGUCAAAAAUGAGAAGCCGUCCCAGGUGGCUGAUGUCCCACCACAGCAGACACCUCCGACACCUCCUGAGACCCUACUCUUCCAGUUUAAAGAUGAGAGCUAUACCCCAGGGCUCAGAUUGUCACCCGCCCAGAUUGUCACUGAUGCCCACACAUGGGGAACUUGGGUCCAGUUUCAUUCAUGUCCCUUCUCCUUUGCUGUCUCCCUGUUCUGCAUGGUGUUUUCCCAGUCUGCGAUGUGCACUGUGAAAGAAAGGUUUGACCAGACACACAGGGUGUGGCUCCUGAUGUCUCUUACAUACAGCACAGCUCAGAGUGCAGUAUGGGGACAGUGUGGACAGGGGUGUGCUCUGCCGUUCUGCUGGUUCUCAUGCUCAGUGAGGGCUCCACCACCCUUUCCUCACCAAGUCAGGGGUGUGCCUCAUACGGAGCUUCUCGAAGUUCAAUAUUUUCUAGAGAUUCCCACAAGAGUCCACCAUUCAAAGAAAUUCUAGGGCGGGAUUAGCAGCCAGGCCAGGAUAAGGGUGUCCUCUGGAUGUCAGGGUGGAGGGUGUGAUGAGCUUCGGGUCUUCAGGUACCUCUUAUUUUCUUCAAGUACCUGCUGUUUCCUGUCUCCUUAAGCACUGGGCUUCCCCUUAAUACCACUCUCCCAUGCACACAGGCAUCUGGGGCUCUCUCUGUGUUCUAAUUCACAAUGAAAGCAUUUUAGACUUAAGGAUUACUUCUGGAAAAGAAUCAAAAAACUUCCUAAUAAAGUAAGUGCUGAACAGAGUCAAGCGUGUCCUAAAUCUUCUGGGUAAUUUUGUGCCACCAGCUGAAGUCUCAGCCUACAGAAAGUAAAUACGGGGCUCGUGAAUCUUGGCUGCCUGCCGGCCUUGACUCACCAAGCGAGCAAACAAAUUUACCAAUUGUGAUGCGGGAGCCCAUGGGUACCUACCUCGGUACAAAAUACACUUGGGGGAUUGUUUGAGGCACAAACAAACAGAAAAUGUGUGGGGCUUGUCCCUGCUCUUCCCCCCUCCCACUUUCUCCUUGGCUUUUCCUUCACCUGAAGGCAAGUCUGAGUCAGCUCAGCAGGCUGUUUGGUGGAUGGACUCAUUACAAUGAAAUGCACCCCUGUGGUCAUCACAGGCACUCUUUUAGCUGUUGUUUUCCCACAGAAAAACCUUUAAUGUUGGGAGUUGGCCAGGUGGGUGGCCCAUGCCUUUAACCCCACUACUUGGGAGACAGAAGCAGGAGGAUCUCUGUGAGUCCACCAGCCUGGCCUGCACAACAAGUCCCAGGGCAGCAGCCAGGACAAGGUGCAAAUCCCAGGAACCCUCUGUGUUUCUGCUUAACACAUGACAGAGCUGAAGAAACUCUGGAGUGACUUUUGCUCCCUUGAAGAACGGAUACCCUCCCCUAACAGUUGCACCAGAAUCUAGAACAUUCCCGUGGCGGCUUGAAAUGAAGCCACCUCCACUUCAGGUGGUUCUAAUCUUUUUUUUUUUUUAAGUUAUCACCAGGGUAUAAUAUUGUAAUUUUGAGUUCAUAGUUCAUGUGUAAAUUGAAAGUAGAAGCUGGACAGACAGAAUUGUAAGAGGCAGGAGAGAUUCCAUUAGUUUGUUCAACAAAUAUUGAUUGACCGGCAGCUGAAGUGCUUGGCCGUAACAGAAGUGCAGCUCCUCUCUAAUGGGCUGUUCCUCCUUGGGGAGGGGAGGGGGGGGGAGGGAAGGGAAAAGAGAAGAAUAAAAGUCUGGUGGAUGUACAGUGCGAGUGUGAAACACAGCAAGAGCACCUACAAGCCCGUACUGUGAAGAAGGCACAGAGAAGUAGCAUGGGCUGGAGAUGAGAGUGGCGAUUACAGAGGUCGGUCAGGAUGGAUAAAGCGGUGUCUACGGAGAAAAUAUAAGAACAAACAAUGCAGACCUGGUGUCCAUACAGGUAAGCUGAGGGACUCUUCCUGUGCUCUCAGAUAUGGUGGCCCGUGUAUGACUACCCACACAGAGUCAGGACACCAGGUUAGUGAGCCAAGAGCCAGCUUACUUUUCAAGAGACCAGGGGUGGGUGGGUGCGUUGAGUGGGGACUUCUAAAAAGUUCCUCUUUCUCUCUAUCCUACUCAAAACCAAGGACUGCACAUCCCUUUAAGGCAGCAGAAGACUUGUGUGACGGCCUGUAACUGAACCAGUGGGAAGAGGAGGAAUUUUGAGAGAUGACAGAUACCAUGCAUUGAGGACGUAGAACCUGAAGCCUUCAGGACGGGCUGCGAUUGGUGAGUUCUCUAGUUUUUAAUCUGUUUUUGAGAAGGAGAGAGAUGAUAAGAUUGCAUCUCUGCGGCUGAAGGGGAACUAGAACCUGUGGUUAUUCUCAGUUCCCAGUCUUUAAAGUUGGGUGGGGAAUGAGCGCGCACACUGGCUCAUGAACAAAGCUCUGUGAAGAAAUCCCACAGACGAUGGAUGGGCUUCUCAGCAGUCUACGCUCCCUGCGGGUUGAGACUGGACAGCCGAUAUGCACUGUCGCUGACGUUGGGCACUGAAACCGGGACCCGCUCUGGGUGGUGAUGGGUGCUGGGAGGCAGCCGUUUGUGGUUCUUCGCCCGGGCACAGAAGUGUACUACUUCCUAAUCUCUGCCUUCGAAAGGCUUUGUGGGCUUCAAACUCUCCGGGUUUGAAGCAGAUAUGUUGUAUUUAAAACCCGGAAGACUGACAUAAAGGGUUUUCUCUGAAGAUUACAGGAAUGAGCUGACUUCCUGGUUCAGGGACCGCCCAGCUGGUAAAGGAAAUGCAGAUUCUGGCCAUGUGCUGAUGGCCACCAGGAAGACUGCUGUUCAGAGCGUGUAACAGACACUCAUUCAUGCUAGAAGAAAUCCCAGCUGCCCACUCUUUUGGGAAUGAGAGGUUCGAGCCACAAACUGCACAAUGGAAGCAUGACUUGGGAGUCUUACUGAAUUCUCCUCCAGUGGCCAGGAAGAACAGCCUUUGCUAAUUACCUAGAGGAGUUCACAGGCCUCCGGAGACACGGACACAUACACCAUGAGAGGCAUGACACGCACGUAAGCACAUCCUGUGAUCAGCAUCACCACCUUUUGGCCCACAGCAGUGUUCAGACCUGUCGGCACCUGAAACCUUCCCUCCAAGUGUUACUGGCUUCCUGAGCCAACUGCAAGAUCAGACUGAUUUUGGCAAAAGCGAAGCGUUUGGGGGAGGUUCCCCAUUCUUUCAUCUGACCUGUAGAGCCACUUCUUGGCAGCAUCUACCCCCUUCCCACAGCAGGGCCUCCCGACCGUGGCUGUCCCCUGGCAGGGUGUGCGCUCCCUUCAGGUGGCUGUCACCCUUUCUGGGCUCAGGCACCUCCACCAGCUGCUCCAGCUGUGUUUGCCCUGUGUAUACUGGGAAGGUUUUAUGGGCCUAUUACACCCUAGGCCAUCCUUGACCCUGGAUCUAAGACUGUUCUUUCAUUCCAAAUGACAACAGUGCCUAGGUUUUCCCUGACAAGAAACAAACCGAACCCUGGUUCAAACAACACAAAACUAUCUUCCAAGUCGACAGCAGGUGGACCAAUGAGAAGACGGCUGUGACAGCUGGAAGGAGCACUCGCUGUUCUCAUGAGCUCUCAGGCUGCUCACCUGUGAACAGCUGGACACUCGAGGUAAGUUUCCCACGCGCCGACAGGCACUACAAUGUCUGCACUUAGCUCUGCAGAAUGAACCCAUGAAUAGACGCCCUUCUCCUAGGGAUUUAAACCAUGUUUUAUAUUUAAAUCUUGCAAUGUUGAACAGCAUCCUUGUCUUAUUUCUAUUGCUGCCCUGACCAAAAGCAACACUGAGGAGAAGAGGUCUAAUAAGACUCAGAACUCCAGUUUACAGUCCAUUGUGGGGGAAGCCAAGACAGGAACCUGAGGCAUCAUGGACCCAUAACAAAUUCAAGCAUCAGUUUUUAUCUACAAAAUGUGACAGUAAUACACACACACACACACACACACACACACACACACACACACAGAGAGAGAGAGAGAGAGAGAGAGAAACAAGUGUGCAUGGAGAUGCUGAGGUGAGAGUAAGUCAGAACUGGAGUUGGGGAGUAUCUCAGUGGUACCAGGUGAGCAUGCAGGGAGCCUCGGGCUCCACCCCCACUGCUGCAAACUAGAAUUAAAGAAAAUAGCUGGACAGCAAACAGUGAAAAGGAUUCUCAGUAAAUGCCCCCUGUUUUAAAUUUAGCUAUUGGAGUUAACCUUUAGAUACUGCAUUUAUCUAAAGGUUAUAUAAAAGCACAUUCUUUGGUUUAGAUAAAGCUCAGUAAAAUUCCGGGAUGUUAGUCUCAUUCUAUUAACCAAGACUCCAGUCUAGUACUGGGCCUGCUCAGGUUGGGGAACACAGAAAUCAGUCAUGGAUCUCUCUUAGGGAGUUACCACCUCAGGGGAAGCUAGUUCUACAACUGAAUCAGAGCCACGUGGGACAUACUCAUUGGGAAAGUGGUUCCUGACCUGCUGUGGCUGCAGCAGAGAAGGCGGCAGAAGCCUCCAGACCUGGAUGAGGAACAGAGCUGAAACCGACAAGAACUGCAGUGAAGCCCCUGCACCAUCUCCUGGCCUUUGAAGGCUCCAGAGCCCAGCCUUCCUACUGCGCAGUUAGUGGCUCUCCUGAAGAAUAGACAGAGUUGCCAAGAGUUACAGUCGCCCCACGCAAGGUCAGAAAAGGAGAAAAAAAAGAAUACUUAUCGGUGACAUUGGGAGUGUGAAGGUUUGCCAAUCCCGCAGAAGAUUCACUCCUUAGCAAUACAGCUGACAUUCUAAAAACAUCUUUCCAUUUUACACUGCAUUUUCUCCAGUGACACUUUUGAUUUUAUCAGUAGCACAGGAUGUUACGUACUAGAGACAAACUGCCCACCACCAAGCCACAGUA
RNAcentral lists this small RNA (4883 nucleotides) under Rattus norvegicus (Norway rat). Its description in RNAcentral is "uncharacterized LOC108352583". Lineage: Eukaryota; Metazoa; Chordata; Mammalia; Rodentia; Muridae. The record is from RNAcentral.